UACGUAUGGUGCAAGCGUUAUCCGGAUUUACUGGGUGUAAAGGGAGCGCAGGCGGCACGGCAAGCCUGAUGUGAAAGCCCACGGCCCAACCGCGGGACUGCAUUGGGAACUACCGGGCUGGAGUGCCGGAGAGGUAGGCGGAAUUCCUAGUGUAGCGGUGAAAUGCGUAGAUAUUAGGAGGAACACCAGUGGCGAAGGCGGCCUACUGGACGGUGACUGACGCUGAGGCUCGAAAGCGUGGGGAGCAAACAGG
Molecule: ribosomal RNA, 253 nt
Filed under: uncultured bacterium
Lineage: Bacteria
Description: partial 16S ribosomal RNA
Rfam family: Bacterial small subunit ribosomal RNA
Source: RNAcentral